UGGGGAAUAUUGGACAAUGGGCGCAAGCCUGAUCCAGCCAUGCCGCGUGAGUGACGAAGGCCUUAGGGUUGUAAAGCUCUUUUGGCGGGGAAGAUAAUGACGGUACCCGCAGAAUAAGCCCCGGCUAACUUCGUGCCAGCAGCCGCGGUAAUACGAAGGGGGCUAGCGUUGUUCGGAAUUACUGGGCGUAAAGCGCACGUAGGCGGAUUUGUAAGUCAGGGGUGAAAUCCCGGGGCUCAACCUCGGAACUGCCUCUGAUACUGCGGAUCUCGAGUCCGGAAGAGGAUAGUGGAAUUUCCGGUGUAGCGGUGAAAUGCGUAGAGAUCGGAAGGAACAUCAGUGGCGAAGGCGGCUAUCUGGACUGACACUGACGCUGAGGCGCGAAAGCGUGGGGAGCAAACAGGAUUAGAUACCCGUGUAGUCCCUGAGCGGGCUGGCAAGGCGCAU
Molecule: ribosomal RNA, 447 nt
Filed under: uncultured bacterium
Lineage: Bacteria
Description: bacterial SSU rRNA
Rfam family: Bacterial small subunit ribosomal RNA
Source: RNAcentral